RNAcentral lists this ribosomal RNA (255 nucleotides) under Escherichia coli. RNAcentral's name for it is "partial 23S ribosomal RNA". It matches the Rfam family "Bacterial large subunit ribosomal RNA", at positions 1422 to 1682 of the family's 2925-position model. Lineage: Bacteria; Pseudomonadati; Pseudomonadota; Gammaproteobacteria; Enterobacterales; Enterobacteriaceae. The record is from RNAcentral.
ACAGGUUAAUAUUCCUGUACUUGGUGUUACUGCGAAGGGGGGACGGAGAAGGCUAUGUUGGCCGGGCGACGGUUGUCCCGGUUUAAGCGUGUAGGCUGGUUUUCCAGGCAAAUCCGGAAAAUCAAGGUUGAGGCGUGAUGACGAGGCACUACGGUGCUGAAGCAACAAAUGCCCUGCUUCCAGGAAAAGCCUCUAAGCAUCAGGUAACAUCAAAUCGUACCCCAAACCGACACAGGUGGUCAGGUAGAGAAUACC